AACCUAAGCCUAUGGAUAUACAUGUGUAUAAAAUGCCUUAUCUUAAAUUUGUGGAUGAAUUUACACUUUUUCUCAGAGGUUAUAAAGCUCCAUACUUUUCUUCCUUUUCUAGUGAAGAUGGAGAGUCAACUGUGUAGCACAUUGGAAGGUUUGAUGGGCAUUAUAUGGAUGGAACCUAAAUGAUUUCCAUAAAUUAGAGUUGUUCCAUUUAUCAUUGAUAAGAACAAUACUUCGUGUGGUAUUUUUUCUUCCACUAAACUCAAUACAAAACCGAGCAGACAUGGAAAGGUAUUUCCAUGACAAAUUCUAUUAGCCUCAUCCUAAAAUUACAAAAAACAUAGAUGAAUUGACUACAUAUUCCAUUGAAAGGCUACGUUGGGAGGAUCGCAAAUGUUUUGUUCAAUUUCCUCUAAUUGAAUAUGCAUUUAAUGGAUUAAUGGCAUGCAUCUUUGAAUAAAAGAGAAAUUAGUUGGACAAGUUUGACAUAAUCUGGAAAAAUUAAUUUCUAGAGAAGUACACAAAUCCAUCCACGAGAGGGAAAAAAUCUGAAGCCAACCCAACCAAGUGCCAACCAGUUAUCACAACAAGGAGCCCCACUAACGUAAAGGAAAUGCAAUAACUUACAGGUCGCCUCACCUCCCUGUCUCGCUUCCUUUCCUGCGUAGGAAACAAAGUCUUCCUCUUCUUCGUUACUUUAAAGAAGAAUGAGAGGUUUGAGUGGACCCACGAGGAUGAAGAGGAUUUCACCAAAGUCAAGAACUUCCCCACAUCUCCCACCGUUCUGACUCGCCUGAGAGAGGGGUCGUCGUUGUUGCUCUACCUCUCGGUCAAUGAUUAGUGAUGAGCUCAGUCCUCAUCCAAUAAAUCGACGGGGUGGAAAAGUCUAUGUAUUUCGUAAGCAAAGUGUAUAGAGGUGCCAAGGCACGUUGUCAAAAUAUUGAGAAGUAUUGCGUACUUUCAGGGUCACAAAAUCCUAGUAAAAACCAACUAUCUUGUGCGGAAAGUCUUGAAGAUGCCCGAUCCAGCAGGAAAAAUGGUAUCCUAGGCGGUGGAGCUCUCAGAGUACGAUAUCCAAUAUGUCUCGAGGUGAAGCAUCAAAUCACAAGUUCUGGCAGAGUUCAUAGCAGAACGCUCUAUCAGUAUAGUGCAUCCAACAUAAAAGGGAGCGACAUUGGAAUAGUCCAAGAAGGACCUGGCGACAUACUCAUCUAGCAAGCUUUAAAAUCCGGGUUCACUGCUAGCAAUAACCAAGUGAAGUAUGAGGCCUCAUUAUCGAAAUGAUCCUCGCCUUAGAAAAGGGAGCCUCUAGGUUAAAGGCCAAAAUUGAUUCCCAAUUGGUCGCCAACCAAGUCUCUAGGAAGUACCAAGCCAAUGAGGUACAAAAAGUACAAACUUUAUCUUCUCGCUUCUCGUCCUUUGAAAUAAAUUGUGUCCCCUGUAAACAAAACAUCAGAGUAGGGCUUAUGUCAAAGCUAGCUACAUCAAAAAUGGCGGGUUCAACAAAAUAUUUAUCUAGGAAACUCUCGCCUCUUCCAGCAUAGAGGCACACGAGGUAUAAUCCCUGGAAGUUAUCCUAGAAUCUAGCUGGAUGUCGCCCAUAUUGCGCUAUCUGCAGACUAGCGAACUACCACUAGAUGAGGGAGAUGUAAGAAGGAUCCGGAAACAUGUUGCUAAGUACACCCUUCUAUUUGAAAAACUAUAUAAAGUAGGGAGAGCUUCUCCUAUGUUAAGAUGUCUACGCGAUCAUGAAACUUUCCUAUUUCUCGUGGAGGUGCACAAGGGCGCUAGUAGCAGCCACAUCGGUGUUCGGUCGAAGAGGUUGCCGGUGAGUAUUCUGAAACAAGUUUGAUUUCAACCUUUAUUUUCGAUUUGCCAACGAAGUGACAUUUUUUUUGUUUGCUUACAAUGUUUUGUUAAUCAUUUUUUGAUGAAGGUUUGAACAUUGUUGCUGUUUUAUUGUUAUAGUGUCCAUAAAAUCAAUGUUUUGUCGUUGUUGGUCGUAAACAAGGUUGGUCCUUCGGUUUGUUGAUUCAAACAAAUCAUAUAUUGAUUGCAUUAAUUGUUGUUGAGGUACAACUUUGAAACUGUCUUUGCAGCAUCUUUGAAAUUGCCUUUAAUGGUGGGAACAUAUUCGGUGUCGGCUUUGCUUCGUCAAGUGCAGGUUGGGAAUUUUCGUAAGCUUGCUAUCUUGAUAUGAAACAUGACUAACUUUCCAAUAACAGUUCCAAGUUCCAAAAGAAUUUUGUUUAUAUAUGAUCCUUCUUUUCUUCUUCUAAAUUUUUGUGUUGGGUUGCAUUUUCUGUAUGGAUUAGGUUUGAUGCUUAUAGGACUGGUUUUGUGUGUUGUUGUAGGGCUUUUCAUGAGUAUUUUGAUGUUGCCCUGUUCGAAAAGUUUGAGAGUGCAUAUGACUUCAUUUUUCAUUUAUAUAACUUUGAAUUUUCACUUGAUUUUGGGACUAAAUUGACUGAUGAAUUGUUGAGUGAUGCCCUGAACGUAUCCCGUACGGUUCCGAGAUGAGGUUGCUCGGAGUCGAGAGUGAAGUUGUCUGGAACAUGGAAACCCGGAUUGAAUCUUGCACCAUGAACUUGACUGGAUGAAAAGUCAUAUUAUAGAUGCAUGUGUACUGUUCGAAGAAAUGCCAAAGAGGAUAUUAGAUGCUCUUGCUGCACUAAUGCUCUUGCUGCAUCACUUCAGAAACCAACGAAAGAUAAGUAGUAGCUACAGGUUUUAUUGACUGAUUAUAAUGGACUAUUGUCAUGCAAUUAAGGGUGUUUUUAGAUAUUAUUCUAAUGCUGAUGCUGAUUGUUAGUGCUGAUCAAAGAGUCAAUGGUUCAAUUUAUAUCAGUAUUUGUCUUUAUGUAUCCUCUCUAAUUCAAUAAUUUUUCAAUCUGUGAAAUAACUUCACUCAUUUUUCUUUUUUGAAUACCUUUCUUUAUAUUCAUUUGAAGCAUCAAACAUGUCUCUUUGAUUAUUUUUCUUCAUUUGCUAUGGUUCCUUAGUUCUUAAAAUAUCCAACUACAUGAGAUCUCUGUAUGUAGAGGUUCUUGCAUUGAGGUUCUCACUGAUUUUGCAUGUGAUUCAACAGACUGAACUAAUAUCUGGUGAUCAAAAUAGGAUUUGACAGCAAAUUCAUGCAGCUGUAAAUUGGUGGAGACCAUUUUGGAUAGGGAGAAUUUCACUUUGGAGGAACUACUUGAUGAGGAUGAAAUUAUUCAAGAAUGCAAGGCUCUUAAUAGUCGGCUUAUAAAUUUGUAAUGGUCUUCUUUUCCAUCAUCAUAUUUAUUUCUUAUUAGAGACUACUGUUCUGUUAUGGCAUUGAAGAAAUUAUCCCUAUGAAGGGAAUUAUAAUAUUAUUCGUCAGACCUGUUUAUUAAGUACUGUCUCGAGUAUAAUUACUUUUGACUUCAAAGUGUUGUUAUGGAAUCAGGGAUGAGACCUAAGAAUAUUAUAAUCAAAAUUAAGAUACUUGCUUAAAUUAAUAAACGAUCCCUUAUAUUUUAACAAAUCAGACUUUUGCAUCUACAUCCUAAUUGAUUAGAUUUGAGAACAAAGUUUAGAUUUGAGUUUCCAUUUUGUUGACCUGUGAGUCUCGCAUAACUCAGAAUGUUAGCAAUUAUAUAAGUUUUGUUUGUCUGAUUUAAGGACAUGGAAAACUGUCAUCUGGUUUAACACUAAAUAUCUUCUGCUGAUUGAUAAAAAAAUAACUGGAAUGUCUAAACAGAAGGAAAACAUGUAUAGAAAACCUAGAGCCCAUGUAUUACAGUUUUUUAAACAAAAUAAUCACUUUUACAAGUUUUCAUCUGUUUGUUACAAAUUUUGAAAAUAUGAAAAUAUAAAAGAAAUCUAGGAAGUGCUUCAAAUGAGAAGCUGUUUUGAGAAAGAACGUAUUUCAUAAAGAUGCAAGUAAAAUUCCAUAUUUUACUUACUAAAAUAUCUAUGGAUGCUUAGGUGGACAGUUAUUUCCGCCAUGUAGGAGGUUGUUGGUGGAAAAAUGUAGUUUUCAUGAAAUAAACUCUGGAAUAUUUUUUUCUGCGGCUCGCAUUUUAGUUACGUAGCUCUUUGGCUUGGAUACCGACAGCAUAUUUUGUGUUUGGGAUGACAUUAUUUCCUAAUUUUGCUUAUUGGCUGACUACAUUAGUAUUGUUUUUUAUAUCACACUUAUUGGCUUAUUGCUGUUUUAUUUGAUGUACUGUUAUUUUGUACGCACUACUAAUCAUCCCAAAAUUCGUAUAAAUGCACGAAUUAUUAUUUUUUAUAUAAUUAAAGAAAAUAAAAUAAAAUAUAAUGAAUUAAACCAAA
Molecule: long non-coding RNA, 4299 nt
Organism: Vicia villosa (hairy vetch)
Lineage: Eukaryota; Viridiplantae; Streptophyta; Magnoliopsida; Fabales; Fabaceae
Exons: 3
Source: RefSeq, a predicted model, not a curated record